Molecule: ribosomal RNA, 466 nt
Filed under: uncultured bacterium
Lineage: Bacteria
Description: bacterial SSU rRNA
Rfam family: Bacterial small subunit ribosomal RNA
Source: RNAcentral
AACGAACGCUGGCGGCGUGGAUUAGGCAUGCAAGUCGAACGGUGACGAGGAGCUUGCUCCUCUGAUCAGUGGCGAACGGGUGAGUAACACGUGAGCAACCUGCCCCAGACUCUGGGAUAACAGUUGGAAACAGCUGCUAAUACCGGAUACGAGACGGAGAGGCAUCUCUACCGUCUGGAAAGUUUUUCGGUCUGGGAUGGACUCGCGGCCUAUCAGCUAGUUGGUGAGGUAAUGGCUCACCAAGGCGACGACGGGUAGCCGGCCUGAGAGGGCGACCGGCCACACUGGGACUGAGACACGGCCCAGACUCCUACGGGAGGCAGCAGUGGGGAAUAUUGCACAAUGGGCGAAAGCCUGAUGCAGCGACGCCGCGUGAGGGAUGACGGCCUUCGGGUUGUAAACCUCUUUCAGCAGGGAAGAAGCGAAAGUGACGGUACCUGCAGAAGAAGCACCGGCUAACUACGUG